Molecule: ribosomal RNA, 465 nt
Filed under: uncultured bacterium
Lineage: Bacteria
Description: partial 16S ribosomal RNA
Rfam family: Bacterial small subunit ribosomal RNA
Source: RNAcentral
GACGAACGCUGGCGGCGUGCUUAACACAUGCAAGUCGAACGGAAAGGCCCCUUUGGGGGUACUCGAGUGGCGCACGGGUGAGUAACACGUGAGUAACCUGCCCUUGACUUCGGGAUAACUUCAGGCAACUGGGGCUAAUACCGGAUAGGAAUCCUUGCUGCAUGGUGGGGGUUGGAAAGCUUCGGCGGUUUUGGAUGGACUCGCGGCUUUUCAGCUUGUUGGUGGGGUAGUGGCUUACCAAGGCUUUGACGGGGAGCCGGCCUGAGAGGGCGACCGGCCACAAUGGGACUGAGAGACGGCCCAGACUCCGACGGGAGGCAGCAGGGGGGAAGAUUGCACAAUGGGCGGAAGACUGAUGCAGCAACGCCGCGUGCGGGAGGACGGCCUUCGGGUUGUAAACCGCUUUCAGCAGGGGCGAAGCUUGUGGUGACGGUACCUGCAGAAGAAGCACCGGCUAACUACGUG